GACAUUGUUCUUUCAUCACAGAAAACAAAGAGGAGGAAAUUGCAAGGACCCUGGAAGCCAAGUUGAAUACGAGCCUCCGGCAGCUCUCGCGAAGAAUUCGAACUCUUCAAGAAGAUGUAGAGGAAUGGCCAGAGGCCAUAAAGGAUGAGCUUCAGCUUUUCAGAGCAGAACUGGAGAUGAAGACAGGAAACAAAGAGGAGGAAAUUGCAACGGCCCUGGAAGCUGUGUUGAAGAAGAUCCUCUGUCAGCUCUUCCAAGGAAUUCAAAGUGGGGAAGAUGUAAACAUUGCCAUAUAUCAUGAAACUCUGCUUGCCAUUGCAUAGCUGGAGAAGAACCCAGAUCUUCAGGGCCAUGCUGAGGAUCCCCGCUGAUCAGGGACAGCACAAAGCCUUUUCCACCUGCCUUCCUCACCUGGCUGUGGUCUCCAUGUUCCUCAGCACUAUCAUUUUUGCUCAUCU
Molecule: long non-coding RNA, 458 nt
Organism: Passer montanus (Eurasian tree sparrow)
Lineage: Eukaryota; Metazoa; Chordata; Aves; Passeriformes; Passeridae
Exons: 3
Source: RefSeq, a predicted model, not a curated record